RNAcentral lists this ribosomal RNA (496 nucleotides) under uncultured bacterium. RNAcentral describes it as "partial 16S ribosomal RNA". It matches the Rfam family "Bacterial small subunit ribosomal RNA", at positions 28 to 506 of the family's 1533-position model. The record is from RNAcentral.
GAUGAACGCUGGCGGCGUGCCUAAUACAUGCAAGUCGAGCGAACAGACGAGGAGCUUGCUCCUCUGACGUUAGCGGCGGACGGGUGAGUAACACGUGGAUAACCUACCUAUAAGACUGGGAUAACUUCGGGAAACCGGAGCUAAUACCGGAUAAUAUAUUGAACCGCAUGGUUCAAUAGUGAAAGACGGUUUUGCUGUCACUUAUAGAUGGAUCCGCGCGGCAUUAGCUAGUUGGUAAGGUAACGGCUUACCAAGGCGACGAUGCGUAGCCGACCUGAGAGGGUGACGGGCAACACGGGAAUUGAGCCACGGUCAAGCUCCCAACGGGGGGCAGAGUAAGGGAUUCUUCGGAAAGGGGCGAAAGCCUGACGAGGCAACGCGGCGGGGGUGAUGAAGUUCUCCGGUUCGUAAACCCUUGUUAUUGGGGAAGAACAAAUGUGUAAGUAACGUUGCCAGUUUGGCCGGAACCAAACAAGAAGGCCAGGGCAAACUACGG